UACCAUGCAGUCGAGCGGCAGCACGGACUUCGGUCUGGUGGCGAGUGGCGAACGGGUGAGUAAUGUAUCGGAACGUGCCCAGUAGCGGGGGAUAACUACGCGAAAGCGUAGCUAAUACCGCAUACGCCCUACGGGGGAAAGCAGGGGAUCGCAAGACCUUGCACUAUUGGAGCGGCCGAUAUCGGAUUAGCUAGUUGGUGGGGUAACGGCUCACCAAGGCGACGAUCCGUAGCUGGUUUGAGAGGACGACCAGCCACACUGGGACUGAGACACGGCCCACACUCCUACGGGAGGCAGCAGUGGGGAAUUUUGGACAAUG
Molecule: ribosomal RNA, 319 nt
Filed under: Achromobacter xylosoxidans
Lineage: Bacteria; Pseudomonadati; Pseudomonadota; Betaproteobacteria; Burkholderiales; Alcaligenaceae
Description: bacterial SSU rRNA
Rfam family: Bacterial small subunit ribosomal RNA
Source: RNAcentral